Pipistrellus kuhlii (Kuhl's pipistrelle) is the source of this 925-nucleotide long non-coding RNA. RefSeq lists it as uncharacterized. The record is from RefSeq and is a predicted model, not a curated record. The transcript has 2 exons. NCBI's taxonomy places the organism in Eukaryota, Metazoa, Chordata, Mammalia, Chiroptera, Vespertilionidae.
CCAGGUAGGUGCUCCACAGGUUCUCUGCAGGGGCGGCAGCGUCACCACCGCAGCCCCACCCAUGUCCCAGGGGCAGCUGAGGGCAGCCCAACCAGAGCCUGCAGGUGUGAGAGGCUCUGGGGCGGGGGGGGCAGCUUCAGCCCAAUGUCUGCAGCACCAGCCGCAGAGGAGACGCUGUCUGGCUAGAAAUCUGACAGGCAAAGGUUGCUGAAGCCAGAGCCCUGCCACUGCCUGCCUCCUAGACAGAAGCCCUUUAUGGCUCCUGGGAGAAUAAUCCAGGCAGCGUCAGGGGCUGGUGACUGGGGGGAGAGGGGCUGCCAGAACUUCCCGGGGGCUGCUGCAGGCCCGGGACACUGGCCAAACAGGCUCUGUCCACCCAAAACCUAGCUGCCAGGAGCCAGGCUGAGGACACCGCUGGGCCUGGAAGGCAGCCAGACCUGCCCCCCUAUUCCUGAGCUGGCCGCACAAGGCCGGCUCUGUGAUCCACUUUCCUUCCAUGCGCAGCCCGGGGGGGGGGCGGGAGCGAGGACGGGAGCGAGGGCGCACCCUGCAGCACGCUGGCGGCCGCACCCGGGAUGCCGGGGACCUCCGUCACGUUGUUGAGCAGGAAGUAGGGGUCGCAGGCGUCGGUGGUGAGGUUGGAGCUGUGGCAGAAGAGGCUCCACAGCCGGGUGGCCACUGUCUCAUUAUCCACCGUGACCGUCUUGGCACAGAUGUCGAACUGGUCCCGGGACAAGGUCCUGUUGCCCAGCAUACACACUCUGCGGGGAGGGGCAAGCAUCAUCACCCGCUCAGCUACAGGUCCCCACCUGCCUCCGCCCUGCAGACUCUAGGACUCAGGACAUCAAAGGCCAUCUACUUGGGAGGGAUGUCAGUCCAACGCCCGGCUGCAUUUCCCAGAUUACUUACGGAAACACGGGAGGGU